GGGCUGGGCUGGUGGGCGAGACUUUAGCUCCAUUUAUAGACAAAGUCUCCCUAGAAAGAGAGGGAGAGUCAAUGAAGGAGCUCAUGUGCCAGUAAAAACAGUUGAUAUACACAAAGAAGACCGACCCACCAGUGAUAUCACAGAAGUUUCUGUUUAAAAAAGAAAGAAAGGAGGAAAACAAGACAGAAAAGAAGAAAAGAAAAGUAAAUUUACCAGAAAAGCUACAGAAUUAAGUAAGUACAUUUAAAAACCUCUAACAUUUUGAAUUUGUUGUUGAUUGCACCUUUAAUUAAGGGUUUUAAAACAUGAAAGUUUUAUUAAUUUUUCAUUACUUGUUGGCCUGAAGCUUAUUGCACCAAAAAUGUUUGAUAAGUUUGUUUUUUGUGUCUUGUUUCCUUUAGAAACCAUCAUAAAUUCUCAGAUUUAAGUCAGAAUUCUCAGAUAAAAGUUGGAAUCUCUUGAGCUAAAUCCGCAUCUUAGAAUUCAUGUCAGAAUUUAGAGUAUUGUUAGUGCUGAAGGACUUAAAAGGGAACUUUGGUCUUCUUCAAUCUGGGCCCUGUUUUCCCAUCUGUUUGACUGAUGGAGGAACAGUUUCUGAAACUGGUCUAGUAUUGAGGGAGAGCGAAUCAGCCGCCAAACUAUUUUAACCGUAGUUGGACCAGAUGAUUGAGCAUUGCCAAACUGCGUUCUUUACUCAGACUGUUAUUUCAAGUCCUCUUGUGUGUCAGAGGUAUCAACACCACCGAUGUUGGGCAUCAACAGGUUCCACUCAUCACAACACACACAUUCUUCUUGUGGGCAGAGGAUCACAGCACCCACAGGAACACCAACAGUCUCCUAAACUCUGUGGUCUUGCAGCAGCUGGUUUGCCCUCCUCUGCUUGUUGACCCUCUCUCUCUACAUCUCUGUCACUCUCUUGCUCUCUCCCUCUCUUUAAACCAAGAUUGGGAGAUUGAAGCCUAGAUUUGAACUUCAAAAGAGGAUUUUAAGAUUGAGGCCAUAAUUCUGAGACUCAAGUCCAAUCUCAGAUUUGAGUGUUCUUAGGUGUAACUUAGGGUUCCGACACUAGCUUUAAUCUGAGGAUUCUGGCUUUAUUAAUAGAAUCUGGAUUUUUUCUUAGACUUUUGGGAUGAAGUCAGAAUCCUAAGAUUUAUUCUCACCGUGAUUGUUCUGUUUUUUUCUCUUUCUGAAUAUCAUCUCGUACAAUCCCAGAUUUCUAAGAAAAAAGAAAUACAAAUCCAAUUACUUAUUUUCUCCCAGAAUAUUUUUUUUUUCAGACAUUUUAAUUAGAUUUUUUCUAGAUUCCUGGCUUUCAAUAUAAAGUUCAGAGAAAAAAAUUCUUUACUGAUCUUUAUUCUUACUUGUUGUAAAGGAGAGUCAGUGGGGUUGUAAAUUUUUAGUUGAUUGUAACCACUAAAUUUUCGUAGUUUAAUAUUAUGAUUUAUUCUUCAGUCUUUGUUUACACAAACAGUCGAAUCUUCUCUAGAAUUUCAUCAGAGUUACAGCCCACACACAUUUCAAUUAUGGCUAAAAACACAAAAAAAGCAACAAUGAUUAGAAUGUGUUUUCUUAAGAAGAAUGUAUCCAAUUUUUAGUGUGUGUGUGUGUGUGUGUGUGUGUGUGUGUGUGUGUGUGUGUGUGUGUGUGUGUGUGUGUGUGUGUGUGUGUGUGUGUGUUUCAAAGAGAGGCCAGGUCUAUGGUCUAUUUCCACAGUCAGCAGGACUAGUGGUGUGCAAACAUGUGCUGUACACGGGUUAAGUCACACUUUUGAAGCCCUGGAUACACACACUAAAACACACACUAGAACACACACACACAAAUACCAAAUACGACUAUCAAAUAUUGACACACUCAGCUGGGAAGAACACCAUCUUUGUUAAUUUUUGAUCAACCUGUGUGUGUGUGUGUGUGUGUGUGUGUGUGUGUGUGUGUGUGUGUGUGUGUGUGUGUGUGUGUGUGUGUGUGUGUGUGUGUGUGUGUGUGUGUAACUGACACCUGAUAGUUACAAUAAAAGGUCACGUGGGGUCGAUCUUCUCCCUGUUUUAGUUUUCAUGACAACUCUCAUUAUAAACUUUGAGGUGGUGGAGCUUUAGAGUGGAUCACUGCCAACUAUGAUGGUGUGUGACUGUGUGGUACAGACAGUUUCAUGAUUUCAACAAAGUUUAAAAAGAAAUCCAAAAAUAAACACAACUCUCUGUGGGCUUUUUUCCAGGUUUCAUGCAGAGGGACAUCCAGAAACUGUUUGCCAAUUAAAAAAGAAACUUUUUCCCAACUUGAGUCUUAACUAAGACUGAAGCUCUUAGCAGUAAAACAUGCCUUUAAUAAUAAUGAGAAUUAACCAAGGUAAAAUGUAGGAAUCUGAAGAACCUCAUAUUAUGUUGAUUUGUUGGCUAACAUAAACUUUAGAUCACCCAGUCCAUCUAUAUUCCAACCUUAUCAUACCUAUGAUCACAAGCGUUCUGAAGUGACCUGAAGACUGAGACAGCUCACUGAAGGAUGGAAACCAACCACUUCUUACUGUCUCCACACAACAAGCAUGAGUAAAAUCAUUUGCACAAAUUAAUUACAUGUUCAGUCAAUGUCCGGAUGCGAUUAGAUGCUCCUACUACUCUUCCGGCGCGAAUGAUGCGAAUUGGGUGGAAGCUGGAUGUCUCAACUCCAGCGGAUAAUUGCGUCGUGAAAACUAAUAAGCACAAAGGUUUCCGGGUGACGUAUGAAAAUGGACGGUUGUUCACUGGUGUCAAAAAUGGAGGACAAACUGAUAGUGUCGGUGUGUGGGUACCCCGAAUUAUAUGAUACGAGUAGAUGAUUUUACUCAUGCUUGGUGUGAGUGCCCCAUCAGAGUUUGCUGAAAAGAACAUAAUGGGCCCAGCAUAAGAGACAGGUUCAAGGCUCAGGUUCAGGGCUCAGACUCUAGGGGGAAGCUUGAAGUAGAAAAGAUACUCCUUUACAUCAAGACUUGGUGAAGCUUAAAGGCUUCUGACAAGGGUCCCUGCUGGGCAUUUCCCUUUAGAGGUUUUCCAGGGACAAAAAACUGGGACGGGGACCAA
Non-coding RNA from Xyrichtys novacula (pearly razorfish), 3050 nucleotides. NCBI's taxonomy places the organism in Eukaryota, Metazoa, Chordata, Actinopteri, Labriformes, Labridae. The record is from the annotation of a GenBank genome assembly.